GAAGGGUGCAAGCGUUACUCGGAAUUACUGGGCGUAAAGCGUGCGUAGGUGGUUCGUUAAGUCUGUCGUGAAAGCCCCGGGCUCAACCUGGGAAUGGCGAUGGAUACUGGCGAGCUAGAGUGCGGUAGAGGAGAGUGGAAUUCCCGGUGUAGCAGUGAAAUGCGUAGAGAUCGGGAGGAACAUCAGUUGCGAAGGCGGCUCUCUGGACCAGCACUGACACUGAGGCACGAAAGCGUGGGGAGCAAACAGGAUUAGAUACCCUGGUAGUCCACGCCCUAAACGAUGCGAACUGGACGUUGGGAGCAAUCAGGCUCUCAGUGUCGAAGCUAACGCGUUAAGUUCGCCGCCUGGGGAGUACGGUCGCAAGACUG
RNAcentral lists this ribosomal RNA (371 nucleotides) under uncultured bacterium. RNAcentral's name for it is "bacterial SSU rRNA". It matches the Rfam family "Bacterial small subunit ribosomal RNA", at positions 527 to 896 of the family's 1533-position model. The record is from RNAcentral.